Long non-coding RNA from Oncorhynchus tshawytscha (Chinook salmon), 2031 nucleotides. NCBI's taxonomy places the organism in Eukaryota, Metazoa, Chordata, Actinopteri, Salmoniformes, Salmonidae. The record is from Ensembl.
UCAUCUGGUGGUAUCACCUGUUUUCUCUCUAAAGGGACAAGUUUUGCAGGAGAAUGAAACAUUAUUGGAAGUGGUCUUACUGUUUUUAGCACUUGGGUCCCUAGUUAAAAUUGUCACAAUUUAAAUAGAUAUUUAGAAAGAACGCUUAAGACAAUCAAAUAUAUUGAAAUGAUUAUUUCCAGAUUCUGGCUAAUUAUAAUAAAAUUACACAGGGAAAAUGAAAAAUAUACGCACAAUAAAAUUUGACAGAGUAAUUUAGUUGUUGGUUAUAUUUUGUGAAUGUAUUGCUUCAAUGCUACCCAACAACAUAAAUAAGUCUUUCAAUUUGGUUUUAGUGGGUUAAGCUGCUACCGUUUAAACAAACCCAACGUUGUUCUUAGGAGUUCAUAUCAUUGAGUGUUGAGCUAGUAGUUUAAAGAAGUAAAUUAGAGAUCCAAAAAGUAUGGCCAGUACUGAGAUACGUUGCUGUGUCUUUUUGAUUCCAGCUUUCUCUCGGUCUGUUGAUUCCUCUGUUUUUGUUUGUUUGUUUUGAUUAUGAGUGAAAAUUUUGUUUAUUUAAAGAAAGUUUUCUUGAUUAAAAAAAAUAAUAAUAAUCAAUUUAGUACUUUUAAGAUUGAUCAAUGUUAUUUUUGGUAGUGUGCAUUGAGUAGGUACUUGUUUCUUUGGACAGUAGAUUCAAGUAAAAAAAUAUAUAUUUGUUGUCUUUUUCUUUUGAAAUAGUGUCUACCAUUACUGUCAUUUGUGUUGUGGGUUGUGACUACAAGGAAUACAGCUACGGCCGGAAUUGUCAUAGCAGCUUAGAACAUUUUAGCUAACCCUAACCCUUUUCCUAACCUUAACCCUUUUCCUAACCCUAACCUGCCACGAUAAUGAUCCUAACUUGCUUCGUAAAUUCUCCUAACCUGAUACGAAGAAGGCACUUCCAGUCAUAGCAGUACUCCUGCUAGUGAGAACUGUGUGUUUUUCUCCAUCUCUGGCUUUAAAUGUUUGAGAUUUCCAAUCCAUCUGUGUCAACAGGUUUUGGCAAUUUCACACUGGUGUACUUACUGCUCAUCAGUCCAAGAUAAUUAUGUGUUAUACCUCUUACAAAUCAUUUCUGAAAUGUGUCCCAAAUUGUAAUCAUUCAGUCAGUGGUUAGGGAAUGCAGUGUCUGAACAGUUAUAUUACCUCCUAGAGCAAUGUAGAACCUUGCACAAUGUUAAUGUGCAAGGUUCUGAGAUGUUUUAUGAGGUCACAACUUCCAUGGUUCUCAAGGCGGCUCUCACAGUCACAGCAGGUACUGUGUCCAUAUCCUCACUCUUCUGUCCUAUGUUCAGAAACUAGGCCACCAUCCAAGGUCAAACCUCUAAUCUGACUGUUAUUUCUCAAAAUGGCCAGUGAUCUAUGCAAUUAAUUUAUUGUCUACAAUAAUGCAAUACUUAUAUUUCAGGUGACAACAAUGGACUGUUUGUCAAUAGUGACUUUUGAAACACAAAUGUCUCAUUCUGCUAUCAGUGGCUUUCAUUUGAGUUGAACUUAAUCCAAAACCUCUAGUUGUACAACUAUCAGCCUCAUUGUUCAUCUAAUGACAGUGAGAUGGCUGCAUAAAAGGGAAUGGUUCAUGAGAUUGGAGCAGAUCCCUCAGCUAUCUUGCAAAAGGCCUCACACCAUCUAACAAUGGGAAACAGAUGACCUUGUCCAGCCAGAUAGGGUCCUUAUUGUUGUUGGUUAACCAAAUAUUGGUAGAUUUGUUUUGUUUGUUACCAAAGACAACUUCCGGUAGGCAUUUGAACAUUUCUUAAGUGAUCAAUGCUGUAGAAUAAAUCUGUCAUUUGUUUUAUCUUGUUCCUUUCCAUUGAUUUGUUGACACUUGUAAUAAUCUCUAUGAAUCAUUAAUUCAUUUGUGGUAGGAAGUAAGAAUCACAGAAAUGCCUUAGAUUUCAUCAAGAGGGGAUUUAAAGAGUGGAUUUAAAGAAUGGCAACAUUCACCCAUUGUCUGCAAAUGUUUGAUAAACAGGACUACUUUUCUUAGAUUUGUAGUAUCAGUUUUAG